ACUCCUACGGGAGGCAGCAGUGGGGAAUAUUGCACAAUGGGCGCAAGCCUGAUGCAGCCAUGCCGCGUGUGUGAAGAAGGCCUCGGUUGUAAAGCACUUUCAGUCGUGAGGAAGGUAGUGUAGUUAAUAGCUGCAUUAUUUGACGUUAGCGACAGAAGAAGCACCGGCUAACUCCGUGCCAGCAGCCGCGGUAAUACGGAGGGGUGCGAGCGUUAAUCGGAAUUACUGGGCGUAAAGCGCAUGCAGGUGGUUUGUUAAGUCAGAUGUGAAAGCCCGGGGCUCAACCUCGGAAUAGCAUUUGAAACUGGCAGACUAGAGUACUGUAGAGGGGGUAGAAUUUCAGGUGUAGCGGUGAAAUGCGUAGAGAUCUGAAGGAAUACCGGUGGCGAAGGCGGCCCCCUGGACAGAUACUGACACUCAGAUGCGAAAGCGUGGGAGCAAACAGGAUUAGAU
RNAcentral lists this ribosomal RNA (453 nucleotides) under uncultured bacterium. Its description in RNAcentral is "bacterial SSU rRNA". It matches the Rfam family "Bacterial small subunit ribosomal RNA", at positions 335 to 783 of the family's 1533-position model. The record is from RNAcentral.